UACGUAGGGUGCAAGCGUUAAUCGGAAUUACUGGGCGUAAAGGGUGCGCAGGUGGCCGCGCAUGUCGAGUGUGAAAUCCCCGGGCUUAACUUGGGAAUUGCGCUCGAAACUACGUGGCUCGAGUGUGGCAGAGGAAGGUGGAAUUCCACGUGUAGCAGUGAAAUGCGUAGAGAUGUGGAGGAACACCGAUGGCGAAGGCAGCCUUCUGGGCCAACACUGACGCUCAUGCACGAAAGCGUGGGGAGCAAACAGG
This 253-nucleotide ribosomal RNA is filed under the name uncultured bacterium. RNAcentral's name for it is "partial 16S ribosomal RNA". It matches the Rfam family "Bacterial small subunit ribosomal RNA", at positions 524 to 776 of the family's 1533-position model. The record is from RNAcentral.